GCGGGAGUGGCGGAAUUGGCAGACGCGCCAGACUUAGGAUCUGGUGCCGCAAGGCGUGUGGGUUCGAGUCCCUCCUCCCGCA
Molecule: transfer RNA, 82 nt
Filed under: Planctopirus limnophila DSM 3776
Lineage: Bacteria; Pseudomonadati; Planctomycetota; Planctomycetia; Planctomycetales; Planctomycetaceae
Also listed under: 2 other names
Description: tRNA-Leu (TAG) (tRNA-Leu-TAG-1-1)
Rfam family: tRNA
About the family: Transfer RNA (tRNA) molecules are approximately 80 nucleotides in length.
Source: Rfam by way of RNAcentral